RNAcentral lists this ribosomal RNA (960 nucleotides) under Triticum aestivum (bread wheat). RNAcentral describes it as "partial small subunit ribosomal RNA". Lineage: Eukaryota; Viridiplantae; Streptophyta; Magnoliopsida; Poales; Poaceae. The record is from RNAcentral.
AUGGCCGCCGCCUGCCGUUUCGCCGCGCCGCUGGGCCUCGCCCCGCUGCCUCGCAAGAGAAUCGCUUUCUCGGUGGGCUCCGCCAAGGCCGCUCCACGGGGCGUCGCGAUGAAGGCGGCAACCGGGACGUCCGGCGGCGAGGAGACGCCGGAGACCGUCGGCCCCCUCUGCUGCACCGGCGUAGGAAGGCAGAUUAUCAAGAGAGCAGAGGAGGUUUUUCUUUCAACACAAGUAAAAGAAACUUCCGAUCUCCCUUCUGACACGGAUCUAAAGAGAAAUAUGAACUUGCUGCAGCAACUUGGUAUACUUCCUUGUGGUGCUACGGCAUGGUUGAGUUUUGCACAGUCAGCACAGUCUAGUGAAGGAGCAAAGUUAAAUAUGGUUUACGAGGUUGGGGAGCUGUUUGAGCUGGGAAUUCAGCUUUCGUAUCUGCUCAUACUGCUUGGUCUGCUUGGAACUGGUACAUUUUUUGUCAUCCGCCAGGUUCUUGUCCGCAGAGAGCUCGAUCUUUCUGCGAAAGACUUGCAGGAACAAGUGAGAAGUGGUGAGGGAAGCGCUACUGAACUUUUUGAGCUUGGAGCAGUGAUGCUCCGGAGAAAGUUUUACCCUGCAGCUAUCAAAUAUCUACAGCAAGCAAUCCAAAAAUGGGACAGAGAUGAGCAAGAUCUUGCACAGGUGUACAACGCCCUCGGGGUGAGCUACAAGCGGGAGAACAAACUGGACAAGGCAAUCAAGCAAUUCGAGAAGGCCGUGGAGCUCCAACCAGGCUAUGUGACGGCGUGGAACAACCUCGGCGACGCAUAUGAGCAGCAGAAGGACCUCGCGUCGGCGCUCAGGGCGUUCGAGGAGGUAUUGCUCUUUGAUCCAAACAACAAGGUGGCAAGGCCGCGCCGAGACGACCUCAAGUCGCGCGUGGGCAUGUACAAGGGGGUGCCAGUGAAGACGACGGACAAGCGAUAG